ACUCAUUGGCUGGAUGGAGGAGUCCUUGUUAACAGCCAAUCAGCGAAAGAAGUUUGCAAUAAUUAUUAGAAGGAUUUAUUUCCUUGUGCGCCAAUCCUUUGUGGAGCUGCCUGAGUUCAACUCAAGCUAUACGAGCGAGUUAAUUGUUCCUUUGAGCAUACUAGCCAUGAUGGCUUAUAGACCCAUCAGUGUGUACAUAAUAUCUCUUCUCCUGACAUGGUGUGCGGCCGGGAAGUUCAGAGUACGGCUGGUUGGAGAAACAGAGUGGUCUGGUGGCCUGUUAGUUUCUAGGAAUGACGCAUGGCGCGCAGUGUGUAAAGACGGCUUUGGAAAUGAAGAAGCACAAAUAGUCUGCAGGAUGCUUGGCUUUAGCGAAUCGAGGCCGUAGUUGUGGAAUCAGAGAUGCUUUCGGAAAGUUCAGGUGCCAGCUUGCUGGACUGCAAUGGUACUGAAAGUAGUCUGGAAGAGUGUUUCUAUCAAGAGAAGCUCUCUUGCGGUGAAACACCACAAGUCGGAAUUAUCUGCAACAUUCUUAAGAAAGCUAGAGAGUUGAAAGCACGUCUUGUAAAAGGGAUUUUGGGUUUGGACUUCUGGAAGUUUUGUAUGACGGGGAGUGGAGUACAGUUUGCAGUCGUGGCUUUGAUCAGAAAGAAGCGCAGGUUGUUUGCAAGAUGCUUAAGCUACCCAGCAAUUACGUCCUCGCUUUUUCUUUGCCCCACUUCUUAAGGGGAAGAAAUGAAUCUAAGAUUUUAUUUAGCGACCUGGACUGCGAUGGUACAGAGACCAGCUUAGCUCAGUGUAAACACAGUGGCUUCUACAACCACACCUGCACUCACGACGAUGAUGUCAGCGUAAACUGCUUAUUCGACAAAGAUGCGACAUUUCGUCUGGGUACACGUUCCACCAGACAGGACAUGGGGCGUUUGGAGAUCACUGUGGGCCGGUAAAGAAACACGGGAAGGAGAUAAUUGUGUGGAGCGGUCUCUGUGGCGAUGUGUACUCUCCCAUUAUUACUGCCAGAUUAAUCUGCCAGAUGCUUGGCUAUCCCUCAAGUGGCGCCUUACUUCCCGGUUCGUCGUUUGGCCCAACACGUGGAUUUUGGCUGACUAACAUAAACUGUACCGGCGUAAACUCUAGUUUUUUAUCUUGUGUACAACUUUUAACCGGCAUCAGUUCAUCAUGUCCCAAAAACGAACUUGGUUUA
This 1204-nucleotide long non-coding RNA is filed under the name Pomacea canaliculata. Its description in RNAcentral is "uncharacterized LOC112569408, transcript variant X2". Lineage: Eukaryota; Metazoa; Mollusca; Gastropoda; Architaenioglossa; Ampullariidae. The record is from RNAcentral.